GCAUUAUCGCGAUGGCUCGGUUGGCCUCGGGAGAGGUGAGUAUUUCUCCACUUUGCUUUACUGCUGGGCUGGGAGGCAGGAGCCACUUUGUCAUCUGUGGUCGCUGGGAGGGAGCAGGUCGUCCCCCUGCCCGUCACGCACAUGGCGCCCGCUAUCUUAAACACAUCACCCGGGCCCCCCCCCAGCCUCGGUUGCGGCGUCUCGGUCUGGGCAGCUACUGAAGACACCAAUCUGCCGAACAGGAACCAUCCAAAUGUUCCAAACAGCCGAACAGUAAACCAUACGAAGGCUCAAAACAGCCAAACAGGAAAAACCAUACGGAGGGUUUACACUCCUAGCAGUCAAACAGGGAAGCAUAUGAAUAAAUCCCCCCCAAGUACGAGACGAGGCUCUGUAUUGAAGGUUAAGCAGGAAUCUGGUUUAAUGGGGCUACCUGCCCAGUAUUUAUGCAGGUCUCCCACCAGGUGGACACUCCCCUAGGGGUCCUGGUGGAAAACUGUGACAACUUUACACAGUAACCAAUCACAGACAUACCACAGGUACAUUGUAAUCCCUCCUCUCUAUCCUGGAGAUAAUUGGGAAGUAAUCCAAUUAUCUCUGAGGAUAGAGGCAAAACACACAUGAUAAUAAAAACAGAUAAAAAUAUAUAGUAUAAAAACUACUGAAUGAAAUAAGCAUGUUCAAUAUAUCUCCAGAUGGCUUACAUCUGAGCGCACAUUAUUACCAAAUGGCGAUUAGAUACCAUACAUACAGUUCAAUCACCAUGGAGCC
Pelobates cultripes (western spadefoot toad) is the source of this 771-nucleotide non-coding RNA. The record is from the annotation of a GenBank genome assembly. Lineage: Eukaryota; Metazoa; Chordata; Amphibia; Anura; Pelobatidae.